RNAcentral lists this non-coding RNA (192 nucleotides) under Schistosoma margrebowiei. The record is from RNAcentral. Lineage: Eukaryota; Metazoa; Platyhelminthes; Trematoda; Strigeidida; Schistosomatidae.
GCACUGUUGAGGAGUCCCAAACGGCCGUCCAGUGCUUCCAGGUUUUCAAUGGUGGUCUAGCUUCAACUGACUCAUGAUUUCAACCUGUGAAAUUUCUUAAAUUUGAACAAUAAAUAAUAAACUAAUAACUGAUUGACUGAUCAAAUACAUUAAUCAUGAGUCGCACAAUAGGACGAAACGGCCGUCCAGUAC